This 848-nucleotide long non-coding RNA is filed under the name Capra hircus (goat). RNAcentral's name for it is "lncRNA (ENSCHIG00010001751.1)". Lineage: Eukaryota; Metazoa; Chordata; Mammalia; Artiodactyla; Bovidae. The record is from RNAcentral.
GGAGAACAUUGAUCCCUGAGUCGGUAACACGACUAUGUCUCUACUCUUCUGGCCAAAUGUCUGCUGAGAAUAUUCAUCCCUAUUUGGCUCUAUGCUUCCUCUAGUUAAAUGCCUGGUCCUUGGCCAUCUGACCCGUGCCUUCCUGAAACUCCUGGGACUUCCCAGUUGCAGAAUGGAAAGGACUCGUGUCCAUCACUGCCCUCAGGCCCUGAGCGCUCUCUCGCGUUGUGUCGCUCCUCUGCACACCCACCUCCUCGUGGCCGUCACUGCCCUCAGGCCCUGAGUGCUGUCUCGCAUUGUAUCACUCCUCUGCACAUACACUCCUCUGCACACACACCUCCUCGUGUCCGUCACUGCCCUUAGGCCCUGAGUGCUGUCUCGCGUUGUGUCGCUCCUCUGCGCACACACCUCCUCGUGUCCGUCGCUGCCCUCAGGCCCUGAGCGCUGUCUCGCGUUGUGUCGCUCCUCUGCACACACACUCCUCUGCACACACACUCCUCUGCACACACACCUCCUUGUGGCCGUCACUGCCCUCAGGCCCUGAGUGCUGUCUUGCAUUGUGUCGCUACUCUGCACACACACCUCCUUUGGCCUGGCUCCUAGCCUUCCUCCCACCUCUCUGUCUCUCGUUUGUUUCUUUGGCUGCCUUCUCCUUCUUUCGCCCUGCUUCUCAGGUUCCAUGCCCUGCCUCCAACUUGUCUCUACACUCUAACUGGGAGAUCUCAAAAUCUGUGAUUUCACUUAACACCAGGAUGCCCACAAGUCACCAGGCCAGGCCUGUUUCCUGGGCUUCAGACACUUCAACAAGGCCUCCCUCUGGCCCUUCAAGUUCAGCACGUCAAAACUGA